CUACGGGGGGCAGCAGGCGAGAAAACUUUGCAACGUGCGAAAGCACGACAAGGUUAAUCCGAGUGGUUUCUGCUAAAGGAACCUUUUGACAGUCCUAGAAACACUGUUGAAUAAGGGGUGGGCAAGUUCUGGUGUCAGCCGCCGCGGUAAAACCAGCACCUCAAGUGGUCAGGAUGAUUAUUGGGCCUAAAGCAUCCGUAGCCGGCUCUGUAAGUUUUCGGUUAAAUCUGUACGCUCAACGUACAGGCUGCCGGGAAUACUGCAGAGCUAGGGAGUGGGAGAGGUAGACGGUACUCGGUAGGAAGGGGUAAAAUCCUUUGAUCUAUUGAUGACCACCUGUGGCGAAGGCGGUCUACCAGAACACGUCCGACGGUGAGGGAUGAAAGCUGGGGGAGCAAACCGGAUUAGAUACCCUAGUAGUC
Molecule: ribosomal RNA, 422 nt
Filed under: uncultured archaeon
Lineage: Archaea
Description: partial 16S ribosomal RNA
Rfam family: Archaeal small subunit ribosomal RNA
Source: RNAcentral